CCUACGGGAGGCAGCAGUGGGGAAUCUUGGACAAUGGGGGAAACCCUGAUCCAGCGAUGCCGCGUGAGUGAUGAAGGCCUUCGGGUUGUAAAACUCUUUUACCCGGGAAGAUAAUGACUGUACCGGGAGAAUAAGCUCCGGCUAACUUCGUGCCAGCAGCCGCGGUAAUA
Molecule: ribosomal RNA, 170 nt
Filed under: uncultured bacterium
Lineage: Bacteria
Description: partial 16S ribosomal RNA
Rfam family: Bacterial small subunit ribosomal RNA
Source: RNAcentral